RNAcentral lists this ribosomal RNA (271 nucleotides) under uncultured bacterium. Its description in RNAcentral is "partial 16S ribosomal RNA". It matches the Rfam family "Bacterial small subunit ribosomal RNA", at positions 524 to 794 of the family's 1533-position model. The record is from RNAcentral.
UACGGGGGGAGCAAGCGUUGUUCGGAUUUACUGGGCGUAAAGGGCGCGUAGGCGGCGCAACAAGUCACUUGUGAAAUCUCCGGGCUUAACUCGGAGCGGCCAAGUGAUACUGUCGUGCUAGAGUGCGGAAGGGGCAACUGGAAUUCUCGGUGUAGCGGUGAAAUGCGUAGAUAUCGAGAGGAACACCAGUGGCGAAGGCGGCCUCCUGGCCCGAUCCUGACGCUGAGGUGCGAAAGCGUGGGGAGCGAUCCGGAUUAGAAACCCCAGUAGU